GUGCAUGCAUAGAGAACUCCGCAUUAAAUG
Molecule: non-coding RNA, 30 nt
Filed under: Cricetulus griseus (Chinese hamster)
Lineage: Eukaryota; Metazoa; Chordata; Mammalia; Rodentia; Cricetidae
Source: RNAcentral